Neofelis nebulosa (Clouded leopard) is the source of this 328-nucleotide long non-coding RNA. RefSeq lists it as uncharacterized. The record is from RefSeq and is a predicted model, not a curated record. The transcript has 2 exons. Lineage: Eukaryota; Metazoa; Chordata; Mammalia; Carnivora; Felidae.
UAUACAUUUGGUCUUCAAAUAGUUCAGUUAAACCAGAAAAAUCCACAUGAAAGAUAAAUUUGAGCAAGAAAAGAUUGCUUUGCUCUGGGGGAAUAGAGCUGCCACAUAAUGAGGCAGCUCCGUAGAAAAGCUCAUAUAACAAGGAGCUAAGGACUGACAGCAGCCAUAUGUAUUACCUUAGAAGUGGAUUCUCUCUGUCAACACUUGCAAUGAGCAAAGCCACAAAUCACCUUGACACCUUGACUGUCCUGAGCCAGAACUAUCUCACUAAGUCAUUGCUGUAUUCCCCACCUUAAGAAACUGUGAGAUAAUAAAUUUUUAUUUUCAA